Molecule: long non-coding RNA, 565 nt
Organism: Alligator sinensis (Chinese alligator)
Lineage: Eukaryota; Metazoa; Chordata; Crocodylia; Alligatoridae
Exons: 3
Source: RefSeq, a predicted model, not a curated record
ACCGACCGGGUCUUUCACGCUUUGCAGCCAUGUGAAAGCGCCGGGUGCCAGGUGCCAGGCCGUGCAGCAGUCGGUCACGGUGUGUGGGUGAAAGGCGGGUUCUGGUAGUCCCAGAGUUUGGCCACUUGGGAGAAUGAAAACAAGAUCUACUGCAAACAAACCCUUAUUGAGGGAGAUGGUCCUAAAACCUACUGGACUCGGGAAUUAUCUAACGAUGAGCUGAUUUUGACUUUUGGUGCCGAUGAUGUUGUGUGCACGAGAAUUUAUGUAAGAGAAUAAAGAACUUCAGCUUCCUUGCCCCAUGGAUGCAGUGGAGAAUCAAGAGGCAGGCAUCGUGCGGAGUUCCUGCAUAACAAAUAUCUGUGUGUGCUGUCACUUAUGCAGCAUUGUACGUGCCCGUGUGUGUCAUAUUUGAACCCCUGACUGCCGUUCAGUGUGUUUUGCUUUUGUAUAAUGAACACUGUUCCUCCCACUUUUAUGCCAUCACUUUUCCUGUUCACUUCGUAUUUUGUAGUUGCCAGUCAGUAUAGUUUGGUCAGUUAUUAAAUUAAUUGGGCAUAACUCA